This is a long non-coding RNA of Melitaea cinxia (Glanville fritillary), 649 nucleotides long. RefSeq lists it as uncharacterized. The record is from RefSeq and is a predicted model, not a curated record. The transcript is spliced from 4 exons. Lineage: Eukaryota; Metazoa; Arthropoda; Insecta; Lepidoptera; Nymphalidae.
AGGGCGACACUUUUUUUGCUAUACUUUGUAUACCAAACUUGAAUUUUUAUAUAAAUUGGCAAAAUUGUACGUCAAAAUGAAAAAAUUUAAACGUCGGAAACGUCGUAAUUGUCAAAUUUUGACUCGAACAAUUAUUUCCUAACCGCCAUAUUAUAUUGCAACCACCGAGUAACCACGCCCGGAAUUUUGGAUUUUUAGUUUUUUUCUGCAUAUAUAUUUUCUGAGCCCUAAUACUUUAUUGUGAGAAUAUUAUUCGUCGCUUCUAGGGAUUUACUAUGGAAAAUACAGUGAAACGUAAUGUGAGAUAUCAAAAAUGUACUAUUUGUGGUCUAAAGAGGACCCCUGGACUGGAGCCAAUGUAUUUUUGAAGAAGUUUCCACUUGAUCCAGAUCGUUUUCAAGAUAUAACAAAUUCAGAGAGUGUGCAAUGGAAUGAAAAUAUUUUAUCUAAAAUAUUUGAUAGCCCAUUUAUCAAGGAAGGCUAGGGCUAUAGGCUAUAUAUUAUCACGCAAAGACCAAUAAGAGUGGACCACUAAUGAAGAAUGUUUCAAAAUCGGAUUUUUUCCUUCUGAGACCUUCCCCAGCUAGCCCAAAGUAACUAUUCCACGUGGACAAAGUUGCGGGUAGAAGCUAGUAGAAAAUAAAAUUCA